Calidris pugnax (ruff) is the source of this 2222-nucleotide RNA transcript. It is a transcript of the gene named PRELI domain containing 3A, with no coding region annotated. The transcript is spliced from 6 exons. The record is from RefSeq and is a predicted model, not a curated record. NCBI's taxonomy places the organism in Eukaryota, Metazoa, Chordata, Aves, Charadriiformes, Scolopacidae.
CCUGGGAUACAGUGAUCAAAGCUGCUAUGAGAAAGUACCCCAACCCAAUGAAUCCCUGUGUGGUAGGAGUAGAUGUCCUCGACAGAAGCCUUGAUAACCAGGGGAGGUUGCAUAGUCACCGACUUCUCAGCACAGAGUGGGGAUUGCCAAGUAUUGUAAAAGCGAUUUUAGGAACAAGUAGAACUCUGACUUAUAUUGAGGAGCAUUCUGUGGUAGAUCCAGUGGAAAAAAAGAUGGAGCUUUGCUCAACUAAUAUUACUCUCACAAACUUGGUGUCUGUUGAUGAGAGACUGGUUUACACGCCUCAUCCUGAAAACCCUGAAAAAACUGUGCUAACUCAAGAAGCAAUUAUUACUGUUAAAGGCAUUAGCUUGAGCAGUUAUCUGGAAAGCUUAAUGGCAAACACGAUAUCUUCUAAUGCCAGAAAGGGGUGGGAUGCUAUUGAGUGGAUAAUUCAAAAUUCUGAAAGCGCUCUAAGCUAGCAGUUCUCCACAUCUACAGUUUGUACUAACUAGUGGUAAUGCCAGCAUUCUUCUUCUUGGGUCGGGAUGCCCUGGAGUGGGUGAUCAGCAAACUAAACACAGAAUUGGAGGAGCUGAAGUCAACGCGCGAGGGCAUGAAACCAGCCAUGGCAGCAGCAUCAACAGGAAAAUAAAACCAAAAAUACCAAGUAACCAACAGAAAAGUUUUACCCUGCAGACUGCUUUGUAGAUCUCCCUUCCAAGGCUGAUCUGCAUAUGUUUAAUAUAUUUAUAAGAAUACCGGAUCUGCAGAAAAGUAACCUCAUCUGUCAUCUCCACAGCAGCUCCUGUUGCCUACUGAAGAUUAAAUUGACCUCCUGCAGAUGCUCUUUUAAUUUAAACAAUUUAUUUUUAACACUGGAAACAAAACAUUUAGCACAUUUAAAACUGCCUAAAUGUGCCUUUUUGUAACAAAGAUAGAGAGUGUAUUAUAUUUGCACCAUCUUGGUUUUUCGUACUCAAACUUGAAAAGAAUGCAUGUGUGGUAUUAAGGAUUUUCCAUGUGAACCUUUGUUCUGUGAAGGGCUGAUUGGUACUAGAGCACUGAAUUUUGUGUUUUGUAAUCUGAUAGUGUCUUAUAACCAUUCAAAAGGAAUUACGUGAGUCAGAACAUGAUACUGUAGAAUUAGAUGUGUAUCUAGAGGAUCAUCCCGAAAAGCUAUAACUUAUUUGGUACGAUCUUUUCCUGUAUUGUUUAAAUGUGCUGCCUGAACGUGACACACAGAUGCUUUACCUCUUAGAUGUUUGUAUCCAAACAAAGAUAAAGUUUCUAUUGGUGUUAAUAGCCUAGAACAGUUUUUUGGUGGGGAGAAGGGUAUAAUUUAUUUUCAUAUUUAUUAACUUGACCUAGUUCCUACCCUCUAUAUGAGGAGGAGUAGUAAUUCCUGGAAGGUGCUGGAAAAUACUUCUCUUAUUUAUCUCUAAGAAGGGUAUUUGUAGGCUACUUGAAUGAAGAGACUGUGCUGUUCCACUGGUCCUUGCUCUUCACAUUGUGUCUUAACUGAGGGGGAGACUGAUACAAUAACCAGAAGAGUUGAAAUGAGAAAUAAGCAGGAAAUUUGAAAUCCAAAGGUUUCAUGAAGAUGUACUUUUCAUGCCCUGAAUGGAGAAAACAAGAAAACAAGAAAAACAAAUGGACUCUCCUUUUUGAGUGCUUUCUACUAACUAUUGACUACCAGUGUAACUGAAUUUUUUUCAACUUUUCCACAUUGUUACAAAAUGGUUUUAGAGUAAUUGUAAAUGCUUCUCAUUACCUAGAAGAAUACUCCUGUAACUGCAGAAAUUGUUUCCUAUAAAACAGGCAUAAGUAUAUAUUGAUAACAGCCCUAGCCUUGUCUGAUGUUCACAGCAUUUUCAUAUUUGGUUCAGGUGUAGUAUAUGUUUCUUAGACAGCACUCUGUUAGGGCAUUUAAACUUAUUUUUUGGUGUGCACACAAAGUGAAAUAAGUGUUGGAAGGAUGUUUACUCGUUCAAGUGGCAAGCUUGUGUUUAGGAAGCUGUUAAAGAGCAUGAGUAACUUCUAAAAAAACUAGAAGAGCAAAAUGUGGUCACUGUUUUGAUCUGCUAUUUUUAAAGUGUCUGUAGCUUAAGGGAAACUUCAGCAUUCAUAUUCUGGUUAGUUUGAAAGUGAACAUUAAUUUGGGUGUAACUAUAGUUUUACUAAAUUACGUGAUCCUAAUGAAUAAACUUAAUUUUAAAAAA